This 434-nucleotide ribosomal RNA is filed under the name uncultured Hyphomicrobium sp. Its description in RNAcentral is "bacterial SSU rRNA". It matches the Rfam family "Bacterial small subunit ribosomal RNA", at positions 8 to 488 of the family's 1533-position model. Lineage: Bacteria; Pseudomonadati; Pseudomonadota; Alphaproteobacteria; Hyphomicrobiales; Hyphomicrobiaceae. The record is from RNAcentral.
AGAGUUUGAUCAUGGCUCAGAACGAACGCUGGCGGCAGGCCUAACACAUGCAAGUCGAACGCCUCAGCAAUGAGGAGUGGCAGACGGGUGAGUAACGCGUGGGAACCUUCCCAGUGGUACGGAAUAACUGACCGAAAGGUUAGCUAAUACCGUAUACGCCCGAAAGGGGAAAGAUUUAUCGCCAUUGGAUGGGCCCGCGUCGGAUUAGCUUGUUGGUGAGGUAAUGGCUCACCAAGGCGACGAUCCGUAGCUGGUCUGAGAGGAUGAUCAGCCACACUGGGACUGAGACACGGCCCAGACUCCUACGGGAGGCAGCAGUGGGGAAUAUUGGACAAUGGGCGCAACCCUGAUCCAGCAAUGCCGCGUGAGUGAUGAAGGCCUUCGGGUUGUAAAGCUCUUUUGCCAGGGACGAUGAUGACGGUACCUGAGAAUAG